Molecule: small nucleolar RNA, 119 nt
Organism: Hippopotamus amphibius kiboko
Lineage: Eukaryota; Metazoa; Chordata; Mammalia; Artiodactyla; Hippopotamidae
Product: small nucleolar RNA SNORA69
Exons: 1
Source: RefSeq, a predicted model, not a curated record
CAAGCUGCUAGCUUUCAGAGGCCUCGUCGUAUUAUGCAGCUGAAAGAAUAUAUGUGUGUGUGAAUCUAUGUGUGUAUAUAUACCUAUGUAUAUACAUACACACACAUACACACACACUA